This 376-nucleotide long non-coding RNA is filed under the name Chinchilla lanigera (long-tailed chinchilla). RNAcentral's name for it is "lncRNA (ENSCLAG00000026407.1)". Lineage: Eukaryota; Metazoa; Chordata; Mammalia; Rodentia; Chinchillidae. The record is from RNAcentral.
UUCAGGUCCAGGACCCAAAUUCAGGACUGCAAAAGGGCAGCUCUUUAGUUUUCUUUGUCUCUUAGUGUAACCAGCUCCUUCUAGCUCUUGGUCCUUGCUGGUGCCAUGGAGAUUGAAGCCGCCGACAAAACAGCAAACAGCAACAGAGCAAACAGUCUUGUUGGAGCUCAGCACCACCUCCUGAAUUUGAUCUGCACUUAAAUUCUCUCUCCUUCUACUUAGGCUGAGGAUAUGUGGCAUUCCUAUGUGCACCCCUGUGGUUCUAAAUUCUACUCAGGGCCAAGAUUUUCUUGGCGAAUGACUCAGCAUUUUACAGUCUGACAUUUUAAGAGGACCACUUUGCUAUUAAACUGAAGCCCAUAUAUUAAAGUUAAAC